GAUGAACGCUGGCGGCGUGCCUAAUACAUGCAAGUCGAGCGAACAGAUAAGGAGCUUGCUCCUUUGACGUUAGCGGCGGACGGGUGAGUAACACGUGGGUAACCUACCUAUAAGACUGGAAUAACUCCGGGAAACCGGGGCUAAUGCCGGAUAACAUUUAGAACCGCAUGGUUCUAAAGUGAAAGAUGGUUUUGCUAUCACUUAUAGAUGGACCCGGGCCGUAUUAGCUAGUUGGUAAGGUAACGGCUUACCAAGGCAACGAUACGUAGCCGACCUGAGAGGGUGAUCGGCCACACUGGAACUGAGACACGGUCCAGACUCCUACGGGAGGCAGCAGUAGGGAAUCUUCCGCAAAGGGCGAAAGCCUGACGGAGCAACGCCGCGUGAGUGAUGAAGGUCUUCGGAUCGUAAAACUCUGUUAUUAGGGAAGAACAAAUGUGUAAGUAACUGUGCACGUCUUGACGGUACCUAAUCAGAAAGCCACGGCUAACUACGUG
RNAcentral lists this ribosomal RNA (497 nucleotides) under uncultured bacterium. Its description in RNAcentral is "partial 16S ribosomal RNA". It matches the Rfam family "Bacterial small subunit ribosomal RNA", at positions 28 to 507 of the family's 1533-position model. The record is from RNAcentral.